RNAcentral lists this ribosomal RNA (195 nucleotides) under Goniomonas pacifica. Its description in RNAcentral is "partial Bacterial large subunit ribosomal RNA". It matches the Rfam family "Bacterial large subunit ribosomal RNA", at positions 109 to 304 of the family's 2925-position model. The record is from RNAcentral. Lineage: Eukaryota; Cryptophyceae; Goniomonadida; Goniomonadaceae.
GAUUUCCGAAUGAGGAAACUCACCAUGAGUAAUGUCAUGGUAUCUUCGAGUGAAUACAUAGCUCGUUGAGGGGAACUCGGGGAACUGAAACAUCUAAGUACCCGAAGGAAGAGAAAGAAAUUCGAUUCCGCUAGUAGCGGCGAGCGAACGCGGAACAGCCCAAACCUAAGAAGUUCGCUUCUUAGGGGUUGCGGA